RNAcentral lists this ribosomal RNA (438 nucleotides) under uncultured bacterium. Its description in RNAcentral is "partial 16S ribosomal RNA". It matches the Rfam family "Bacterial small subunit ribosomal RNA", at positions 355 to 783 of the family's 1533-position model. The record is from RNAcentral.
UGGGGAAUUUUGGACAAUGGGGCGAAAGCCUGAUCCAGCAAUGCCGCGUGUGUGAAGACGGCCUUCGGGUUGUAAAGCACUUUUGUCCGGAAAGAAAAUCCUUGGCUCUAAUACAGUCGGGGGAUGACGGUACCGGAAGAAUAAGCACCGGCUAACUACGUGCCAGCAGCCGCGGUAAUACGUAGGGUGCAAGCGUUAAUCGGAAUUACUGGGCGUAAAGCGUGCGCAGGCGGUUUGCUAAGACCGAUGUGAAAUCCCCGGGCUCAACCUGGGAACUGCAUUGGUGACUGGCAGGCUAGAGUAUGGCAGGAGGGGGGUAGAAUUCCACGUNUGAGCAGUGAAAUGCGUAGAGAUGUGGAGGAAUACCGAUGGCGAAGGCAGCCCCUGGGCAAUACUGACGCUCAUGCACGAAAGCGUGGGGAGCAAACAGGAUUAGAU